CAACAAGGGCAGUUUAAGCCUCAGCUCAAUAUUUUAAGGUAUAUAAGUAUGAUCAAUUGCUUAGUUUGCUACAUUUAUUUUAGUUGUUUACAGGUAUAUAUCUUAAAUAAACUCAAUGCAGCACCGAAAUAUUUAUUCCUUAAGCCAUGAUAUCCAUAGGCAACUCACCUCUUGUUUGUAAUGACGGUAGUACACUGAGCCCGUGUUUUGAGCAACAAUGUCGGUAAAGAUCAUUUGAGUUACGAGAUUGAUGGUGCCCAGGUAAUGUAAAAGGAGUCAAGCGAAUGAAGAUGCUGCUGGGGAAGGAAGGAAAGUAGGGCUUCCUUUCCGGACUAGAGAAGGUCAAACUCUGGGCGGGCUGUCAGGUUUUACCUAUGCAAUGGUUUCACCAGAUGUUUGGAGCCACAAACGCACAGAUACUAUUGUGAUUUCUUCAUUGAAGCACAAUUGGCCCGCUGGAGCCUGAUAAUAACGUUCAUUGUUUAUAGUGUAUCUCUGGAUUUUCUUUCAUUGGCAAUUCAUUGGAUUAGGUUAGAGGACUCUGUUGUUUCAUUAGUAUGGCAUGUUAAUUACAUUUCACUAUGCAGAAUCAUUUUUGCAAUGUCAAGUAGCCUAGCUUUUUUGCUUAAAAGUCAUAAUAUACAUUUAACCUUCAAGGACCAGGAAAAUUUUAUGCAUCAGAGAGCCAA
This 689-nucleotide long non-coding RNA is filed under the name Capsicum annuum. RNAcentral's name for it is "long non-coding RNA (CANN_LNC013314)". The record is from RNAcentral. Lineage: Eukaryota; Viridiplantae; Streptophyta; Magnoliopsida; Solanales; Solanaceae.